This 227-nucleotide long non-coding RNA is filed under the name Columba livia (rock pigeon). RNAcentral describes it as "partial uncharacterized LOC102090625". The record is from RNAcentral. Lineage: Eukaryota; Metazoa; Chordata; Aves; Columbiformes; Columbidae.
UGUCUCGCUGCUCCCCAGAAGGCAAGCGUCAGAUGGUGCACAAUAUCCUCAGCAGAAGAGAACAAAUGCAAUAAUCUACGGGAGCUCAUGCAACAAGAGAGCGUUGCAUUGAGUUGCCUGCAGAAAUCAACGUACCUCGACUGCAUAAAAGCCAUUUCGAAUAAUGAAGCGGAUGGUAUUAGCUUGGACGGUGGUCAAGUUUUUGAGGCUGGCCUUGCCCCCUACAA